RNAcentral lists this ribosomal RNA (817 nucleotides) under Amphidinium massartii. RNAcentral's name for it is "partial large subunit ribosomal RNA". The record is from RNAcentral. Lineage: Eukaryota; Dinophyceae; Amphidiniales; Amphidiniaceae.
GAAUGGGAUCUCUUAGUAAUGGCGAAUGAAAAGAGAUGUGCUUAGUGUCAAAAUCAGGUUAUCCUGAAUUGUAGGCUGUAGGGGUGAUGCCAACUUGGGUGCAGGUGAAAGUCUCUUGGAAAGGAGCACCAGUGAGGGUCAGGGUCCCGCCUGUCAUCUGUCAUCCCUUGUAGACGGUUUGCCCAUUGAGAGUCGUGUUCUUCUGGAAUAGAGCGCCAAACGGGUGGUACUCUUUGCCUAAGGAGCAUUACGUGCUUGAGACCAAUAGCGAACAAGUACCAUGAGGGAAGGGUGAAAAGGACUUUGGAAAGAGGGUUAAGAGGGCUUGAAGCUGCUGGAAGGGAAGUGGAUUGGACUUUUACUCCGCGGCAAGAUUGCAGGCUGUAGUCUUCACUUGUGGGGAACUGCGUACUGUGUCUCUUGCCGCAUGGUUGAGCUCUGUGUAGCGCUCAGAAUCUUAGCGUGGACUGGAGAAGGGUUGCGAUCUGGACCAUGUCUUUGCCUACUCUUAGCGCAACAUUUAUCUUGACCAAAUAGUUCAAUUUUACCCGUCUUGAAACACGGACCAAGGAGUCUAAUGCGUGUGCGAGUGUAAGGGAUUGACACCUGACAGCUCAACAAAGGUGACUGCUGGGAUUCUUGCACCAGCAACCAACUGAUCGCUUAGGAGAUGUUUGUGUAUGAGCACACUUGCUAGGACCCGAAAGGUGGUGAACUAUGCCUGAGAAGGGUGACGUCAGGGGAAACUCUGAUGGAAGCUCGUAGCGCUACUGACGUGCAAAUCGUUCGUCUGACUUGGGUAUAGGGCGAAAGAMUA